RNAcentral lists this ribosomal RNA (750 nucleotides) under Triticum aestivum (bread wheat). RNAcentral describes it as "partial small subunit ribosomal RNA". Lineage: Eukaryota; Viridiplantae; Streptophyta; Magnoliopsida; Poales; Poaceae. The record is from RNAcentral.
AUGAGAGGGUUCGAGAGGAGAGGCGUCGGGCAGUACAACCGGUCGGACGAGCCGCGGAUGCGGUGGACGGAGGAGCUUCACCGGCAGUUCAUCGAGGCCGUGGACUGCCUCGGCGGCCAGGACGAGGCAACGCCAAAGCGAAUUCUUCAGCUGAUGGGCGCCAAGGGAGUCAGCAUAUCUCACGUCAAGAGCCAUCUCCAGAUGUACAGAUCAAGCUCUAGCAACACCAACAGCAACGGUGGUCCACCCAAUGCGUCCGUGGAUCGCCGCUGGGGUCACCGUGCCAUCGACACGUCGUGGAAUGGCCAUGGGAACGAUAUGGCGGCGGCUUCGGGCAGAAUCGACGCUUCUUCUUGCACCGUGCCUCCCCACGGCCACCGCUCGUCGCCGCCGUACCAAAUUCCGUCGAUCGAAGAGGUUCUCAAGAGCUGGGAGCAGAGUAGAGGGCGGCUGCCAUGGAACUCCAUCAUGCCAUCAGAGAAGGCGACCAGCUGGGCACGUCACGCUGACAGCAGAACACGUCAGAAGAGUCAGCAGCCGACGGCAGGAUGUGACCUGACGCUGUCGAUCGGCCGGUGCAAGGAGGAGGCCAUGGUCGUGAGCAGCGACGCCGACGUCUCGAGCACGACCACCGAAGAGUCUGCGGCCGUGCCGACGAGGGAUCGAGGAGCCGACGACCGCCACUCAGACACCGCUGGUCUGAACCUUGACCUGAACCUCGACCUCACUGUCUCAACUUCUUGGCUCUGA